This 455-nucleotide ribosomal RNA is filed under the name uncultured bacterium. RNAcentral describes it as "SSU rRNA". It matches the Rfam family "Bacterial small subunit ribosomal RNA", at positions 26 to 518 of the family's 1533-position model. The record is from RNAcentral.
AGAACGAACGCUGGCGGCAUGCCUAACACAUGCAAGUCGAACGUGAUCCAUGACUUCGGUUGUGGUGAAAGUGGCAAACGGGUGAGUAACGCGUGGGAAUCUGCCCAGAGGUAGGGAAUAACCGCGGGAAACUGCGGCUAAUACCCUAUGUGCCCUACGGGGCAAAGAUUUAUCGCCUUUGGAGGAGCCCGCGUCGGAUUAGGUAGUUGGUAGGGUAACGGCCUACCAAGCCUACGAUCCGUAGCUGGUCUGAGAGGAUGAUCAGCCACACUGGGACUGAGAUACGGCCCAGACUCCUACGGGAGGCAGCAGUGGGGAAUAUUGGACAAUGGGGGCAACCCUGAUCCAGCAAUGCCGCGUGAGUGAUGAAGGCCUUCGGGUUGUAAAGCUCUUUCGGCGGGGAAGAUGAUGACGGUACCCGCAGAAGAGCCCGGCUAACUCGUGCCAGCAGCCGC